Molecule: ribosomal RNA, 244 nt
Filed under: uncultured bacterium
Lineage: Bacteria
Description: partial 16S ribosomal RNA
Rfam family: Bacterial small subunit ribosomal RNA
Source: RNAcentral
GCAUGUCGAACGAAGCACUUGUGCUUAGUGGCGAAUGGGUGAGUAACAAGUACUUAAUCUACCCUCAAGUCAGGGACAACAGUUGGAAAAGAAUGCUAAUACCGGAUAUGUAUUUCUAACGCAUGGUAGUUAUAUGAAAGGAGCUUUACAGCUUCGCUUAAGGAUGAGAGUGCGGUACAUUAGUUAGUUGGUAGGGUAAAGGCGUACCAAGACGAUGAUGUAUAGCUGGGUCGAGAGGCUGAAC